GCCUGAGUGGCUCAGUCGGUUGAGCUUCCGACUUUGGCUCAGGUCGUGAUCUCUAGGUUCGUGGGUUCGAGCCCCGCAUCAGGCU
RNAcentral lists this transfer RNA (85 nucleotides) under Felis catus (domestic cat). It matches the Rfam family "tRNA". From Rfam's summary of the family: Transfer RNA (tRNA) molecules are approximately 80 nucleotides in length. Their secondary structure includes four short double-helical elements and three loops (D, anti-codon, and T loops). Further hydrogen bonds mediate the characteristic L-shaped molecular structure. tRNAs have two regions of fundamental functional importance: the anti-codon, which is responsible for specific mRNA codon recognition, and the 3' end, to which the tRNAs corresponding amino acid is attached (by aminoacyl-tRNA synthetases). tRNAs cope with the degeneracy of the genetic code in two manners: having more than one tRNA (with a specific anti-codon) for a particular amino acid; and 'wobble' base-pairing, i.e. permitting non-standard base-pairing at the 3rd anti-codon position. The record is from Rfam by way of RNAcentral. Lineage: Eukaryota; Metazoa; Chordata; Mammalia; Carnivora; Felidae.